AUUGAACGCUGGCGGCAGGCCUAACACAUGCAAGUCGAGCGGAUGAAUCGAGCUUGCUCCUGGAUUCAGGGGCGGACGGGGGAGUAAUGCCUAGGAAUUUGCAUGGAAGUGGGGGAUAACGUCCGGAAACGGGCGGUAAUACCGCAUACGUCCUGAGGGAGCAAGUGGGGGAUCUUCGGACUUCACGCUAUCAUAUGAGCCUAGGUCGGAUUAGCUAGUUGGUGGGGUAAAGGCCUACCAAGGCGACGAUCCGUAACUGGUCUCAGAGGAUGAUCAGUCAGAUUGGCUGUGAGACUCGGUACCCACUCCUACGCGAAGACACAGCCGAAACUAUUAGACGAUGCACCAGAGCCUGAUCCUGCCCAACCGCGUAUGUGCAGAAGAAGUUCGGAUUGGUAAGCGGUUAAAGUUGUGAGGAAGGGCAAUACGUUAAUACCUUGCUAUAUUGACGUUACCAAGAGAAUAAGCACCGGCUAACUUCGUG
RNAcentral lists this ribosomal RNA (484 nucleotides) under uncultured bacterium. Its description in RNAcentral is "partial 16S ribosomal RNA". It matches the Rfam family "Bacterial small subunit ribosomal RNA", at positions 30 to 507 of the family's 1533-position model. The record is from RNAcentral.